AGUGAACGCUGGCGGUAGGCCUAACACAUGCAAGUCGAACGGCAGCACAGUAAGAGCUUGCUCUUACGGGUGGCGAGUGGCGGACGGGUGAGGAAUACAUCGGAAUCUACUUUUUCGUGGGGGAUAACGUAGGGAAACUUACGCUAAUACCGCAUACGACCUACGGGUGAAAGCAGGGGAUCUUCGGACCUUGCGCGAUUGAAUGAGCCGAUGUCGGAUUAGCUAGUUGGCGGGGUAAAGGCCCACCAAGGCGACGAUCCGUAGCUGGUCUGAGAGGAUGAUCAGCCACACUGGAACUGAGACACGGUCCAGACUCCUACGGGAGGCAGCAGUGGAGAAUAUUGGACAAUGGGCGUAAGCCUGAUCCAGCCAUACCGCGUGGGUGAAGAAGGCCUUCGGGUUGUAAAGCCCUUUUGUUGGGAAAGAAAAGCAGCAGGUUAAUACCCCGCUGUUCUGACGGUACCCAAAGAAUAAGCACCGGCUAACUUCGUG
This 492-nucleotide ribosomal RNA is filed under the name uncultured bacterium. RNAcentral describes it as "partial 16S ribosomal RNA". It matches the Rfam family "Bacterial small subunit ribosomal RNA", at positions 29 to 507 of the family's 1533-position model. The record is from RNAcentral.